AGUGAACGCUGGCGGUAGGCCUAACACAUGCAAGUCGAACGGCAGCACAGUAAGAGCUUGCUCUUACGGGUGGCGAGUGGCGGACGGGUGAGGAAUACAUCGGAAUCUACUUUUUCGUGGGGGAUAACGUAGGGAAACUUACGCUAAUACCGCAUACGACCUACGGUUGAAAGCAGUGGAUCUUCUGACCUUGCGCGAUUGAAUGAGCCGAUGUCGGAUUAGCUAGUUGGCGGGGUAAAGGCCCACCAAGGCGACGAUCCGUAGCUGGUCUGAGAGGAUGAUCAGCCACACUGGAACUGAGACACGGUCCAGACUCCUAAGGGAGGCAGCAGUGGGGAAUAGUGGACAAUGGGCGCAAGCCUGAUCCAGCCAUACCGCGUGGGUGAAGAAGGCCUUCGGGUUGUAAAGCCCUUUUGUUGGGAAAGAAAAGCAGCAGGCUAAUACCCAGCUGUUCUGACGGUACCCAAAGAAUAAGCACCGGCUAACUUCGUG
RNAcentral lists this ribosomal RNA (492 nucleotides) under uncultured bacterium. RNAcentral describes it as "partial 16S ribosomal RNA". It matches the Rfam family "Bacterial small subunit ribosomal RNA", at positions 29 to 507 of the family's 1533-position model. The record is from RNAcentral.